This 505-nucleotide ribosomal RNA is filed under the name uncultured marine eukaryote. Its description in RNAcentral is "bacterial SSU rRNA". It matches the Rfam family "Eukaryotic small subunit ribosomal RNA", at positions 616 to 1145 of the family's 1831-position model. The record is from RNAcentral.
CAGUUAAAAAGCUCGUAGUUGAAUUUCUAGGCAGUAGCUACUCGGAUUUCAAUUCAGUAUCUGCUGUCUAUCCGACACUGAACUAUGACGGGUAUUAAGUUAUCCCCAUAGCGAAUUGUCAUUUUACUUUGAAAAAAUUAGAGUGUUUCAGGCAGGCAAUUGCCCGGAUAUCUUAGCAUGGAAUAAUGGAAUAGGACUUUGGUUCAUUUGAUUGGUUAUUGAAUCAAAGUAAUGAUUAAUAGGGACAGUUGGGGGCAUUAGUAUUUAAUUGUCAGAGGUGAAAUUCUUGGAUUUAUUAAAGACUAACUUAUGCGAAAGCAUUUGCCAAGGAUGUUUUCAUUAAUCAAGAACGAAAGUUAGGGGAUCAAAGACGAUCAGAUACCGUCCUAGUCUUAACUAUAAACUAUACCGACUCAGGAUUGGCGAUGUUUCAACUUCGUCAGCACUGUAUGAGAAAUUAAAGUCUUUGGGUUCUGGGGGGAGUAUGGUCGCAAGGCUGAAACUU